UGGGGUGUGGCUCAGAGGCAGAGCACUCGCCUAGCAUGUAUGAGGAACUGGGUUAGAGCCUCAGCACCACAU
This is a non-coding RNA of Ictidomys tridecemlineatus (thirteen-lined ground squirrel), 72 nucleotides long. Lineage: Eukaryota; Metazoa; Chordata; Mammalia; Rodentia; Sciuridae. The record is from Rfam.